RNAcentral lists this transfer RNA (87 nucleotides) under Gammaproteobacteria bacterium. RNAcentral describes it as "tRNA-Leu". It matches the Rfam family "tRNA". From Rfam's summary of the family: Transfer RNA (tRNA) molecules are approximately 80 nucleotides in length. Their secondary structure includes four short double-helical elements and three loops (D, anti-codon, and T loops). Further hydrogen bonds mediate the characteristic L-shaped molecular structure. tRNAs have two regions of fundamental functional importance: the anti-codon, which is responsible for specific mRNA codon recognition, and the 3' end, to which the tRNAs corresponding amino acid is attached (by aminoacyl-tRNA synthetases). tRNAs cope with the degeneracy of the genetic code in two manners: having more than one tRNA (with a specific anti-codon) for a particular amino acid; and 'wobble' base-pairing, i.e. permitting non-standard base-pairing at the 3rd anti-codon position. Lineage: Bacteria; Pseudomonadati; Pseudomonadota; Gammaproteobacteria. The record is from RNAcentral.
GCCGGGGUGGUGGAAUUGGUAGACACGCAAGUUUCAGGUAUUUGUGAGGGUAACCUCGUGGAGGUUCGAGUCCUCUUCUCGGCACCA